UAGUGUCUACCAUUCUCUGUUUUGAGUGAAAAAUAAUAUACUGUGGAAAACUUCAGAAAUAAGUGUGAUAUACCUUAUUAUACUAAAAGUGUUGGAAAAAAUUGUGCUUAAAAUAUUGUUAUAUUUGUGUUAAAAAAAUCUGCGAACAUUUUAGCUCUAUCUAUAAAAAUGUGAAAUUCAACUAUGGUGAAAUUUCGCUCAGAUUAGAAAGAUUAAAAUUGCCGUUGAGAAACGACGUUCAUCGAUUAUGGGACUGUCAUCGUUACUCAUCAUUAAAUAAAAAUAAUAAUUCCAACAAAUUCUAAAAAUUUUUUAGUGAAAUCUUCUAUUAUUAAUAUUAAACAAAUGUUUGUUAAACACGAAACGGCGCGUGUUUUAUUACAUAUUAUUUUAAAAUAAUGAAAUAAUGUUUCUUACUAAAUCGAAUUGUUUUAUGAAUAUUAUUAAUAAUUCACCAAAAAUAACAAAAUUCCAUUCUACCAGUAUU
Long non-coding RNA from Chrysoperla carnea, 487 nucleotides. RefSeq lists it as uncharacterized. Lineage: Eukaryota; Metazoa; Arthropoda; Insecta; Neuroptera; Chrysopidae. The record is from RefSeq and is a predicted model, not a curated record. The transcript is spliced from 3 exons.